RNAcentral lists this ribosomal RNA (2015 nucleotides) under wastewater metagenome. Its description in RNAcentral is "bacterial LSU rRNA". It matches the Rfam family "Bacterial large subunit ribosomal RNA", at positions 88 to 2170 of the family's 2925-position model. The record is from RNAcentral.
GCAAGCAGGCUUUGAUCCGUGGAUCUCCGAAUGGGACAACCCACUGGCCUUAAUCGGCCAGUAUCAUUGGAUGAAUUCAUAGUCCAAUGAAGCGAAACGCGGUGAAGUGAAACAUCUCAGUAACCACAGGAAAAGAAAACGACGUCAUUCCGCUAGUAGUGGCGAGCGAACGCGGAGGAGCCUAAACUAAUGAGACUUGUCUCAUCAGGGUUGUGGGACCUCAAUGUGGUAGGACUAUUGUUAGCUGAAUCUUUUGGAAGAAAGAGCCAUAGACCGUGAAAGCCGGGUCAGUAAAACAAGAAGCCGCCUAGAGAAAUCCCAAGUAGCACGGUGCAAGUGAAACUCUGUGCGAAUCAGUCCGGACCACCGGAUAAGGCUAAAUUCUACUUGGCAACCGAUAGUGAACCAGUACCGCGAGGGAAAGGCGAAAAGAACCCCUUUUAGGGGAGUGAAACAGAUCCUGAAACCAUAAGCUUACAAUGUGUAGGAGCGCUUAACAGCGUGACUGCUUGCCUUUUGCAUAAUGAGUCUGCGAGUUAUUGUCAGUGGCCAGCGUCAGCCUUUCUGAGGUGGAUGCGAAGCGAAAGCGAGUACGAAGUGUGCGUUAAGUCGCUGGCAAUAGACCCGAAGCGGAGGUGAUCUACUCUUGAGCAGGUUGAAGCCCAGGUAACACUGUGUGGAGGACCGAACUCGUGGAUGUUGAAAAAUCCUGAGAUGACUUGAGAGUAGGAGCGAAAGACUAAUCAAACCCCGUGAUAGCUGGUUCUCUCCGAAAUCGCUUGAGGGCGAGCGUUGGGUAAGUACUCCAUCGAGGUAGAGCACUGGAUGGCUUAGAGUCCACACCAGGAUAUCAAAACCAAUCAAACUCCGAAUUCCACGGGAUCCAAUACCUCGGCAGUCAGACGGUGGGGGAUAAGCUCCAUCGUCGAAAGGGCAACAGUCCAGCCCGCCGGCUAAGGUGCCCAAACGUUGUUAAGUGGAAAGGAUGUGAAGUUACUUAGACAGUGAGGAUGUUGGCUUAGAGGCAGCCACCAUUUAAACAGUGCGUAAUAGCUGACUCAUCGAGUGAUUUUGCGCCGAAAAUGAUUGGCGAUAAAUAACGUACCGAAGCCGCGGAUAGCAAGUUGGUUCGCCAACUUGUUGUGGUAGGAGAGCGUGAACGGUGCAGUGAAGCAGAACCGAAAGGGGACGUGGAGCGCCGUUCAGUGAGAAUGCAGACACGAGUAGCGAUAAACCAGAUGAGAAUUCUGGUCGCCGUAAACCCAAGGUUUCCUGGGCUAGGUUCGUCCUCCCAGGGUCAGUCGGGAGCUAAGAUGAGGUCGUAAGACGUAAUCGAUGCACAGCUGGUCAACAUUCCAGCACCGAUGUGGUUCAAACCGUUAGUGACGCAAGGAGAAAAGUGGCAAGAUUAUUGAAAAAUCUAGCUUAGGGGCAACCUGAAGCAAGUCACCAGACAACUUGUCUAGAAAAGCUAACGGCCCUUUUCCACAUUGCCCGUACCGCAAACCGACACAGGUGGGUGGGUGUAAAUGCACCAAGGCGCGCGAGAGAGACCUCUCUAAGGAACUCGGCACAUUAGCCCCGUAACUUCGGGAAAAGGGGUGCUCGCUUCGGCGAGCCACAGUAAAUUGCGUUUAGCGACUGUUUAACAAAAACACAGCACUCUGCCAAGUCGUGAAGACGACGUAUAGGGUGUGACACGUGACCAAUGCGGAAAGAUCAAGGUGAGCUGUUAGCUGUAAGGCGAAGCGGUGAACCCAAGUCCCCGUGAAUGUCGGCCGUAACUAUAACGGUCCUAAGGUAGCGAAAUUCCUUGUCGGGUAAGUUCCGACCUGCACGAAUCGUGUAACGACUGAACCGCUGUCUCGGAGAGGAUCUCGGCGAAAUUGUAACGGCGGUGAAGAUGCCGCCUGCCCGCAGUAGGACGGAAAGACCCUAUGCACCUUUACUGUAAGCUGGUAUUGUGUUCUGGUUAACGAUGCGUAGCGUAGGUGGGAGACUUUGAAGGCGCGGUU